AACUAAACCCCACAAACCAUUUGAGAGAGGGGACUUUAAACCCCUGGAUUCCUUUCAGGGUUCUGAAAACUGACAUCAGUAGGCAUCAAAAAGUUCCUUAGCAGAUUUUUCUUCGAGGAGCACAAGGGUGGGUCUGGUGGAACCCUUCAGGAGCUAGGGUGUCGGAGGUGGGGGACUAGCCCUGGUCCCACUGUCCUUCCUCUCCUCCUCACUCCCCAAGCUGCC
Molecule: long non-coding RNA, 225 nt
Filed under: Pan troglodytes (chimpanzee)
Lineage: Eukaryota; Metazoa; Chordata; Mammalia; Primates; Hominidae
Description: long non-coding RNA NONPTRT001677
Source: RNAcentral